RNAcentral lists this ribosomal RNA (536 nucleotides) under uncultured eukaryote. Its description in RNAcentral is "eukaryotic LSU rRNA". The stretch from base 161 to 314 matches the Rfam family "5.8S ribosomal RNA". The record is from RNAcentral.
UAAAAGUCGUAACAAGGUUUCCGUAGGUGAACCUGCGGAAGGAUCAUUAUUGAUUGGUCGAAAGACCUUAUCAGAUUCUACCACCUCUGUGAACUGUUGGACCUCCGGGUCUACAAUCAAACAUCAGUGUAACGAACGUAAGAGUAUCUUAACGAAACAAAACUUUCAACAACGGAUCUCUUGGCUCUCGCAUCGAUGAAGAACGCAGCGAAAUGCGAUAAGUAAUGUGAAUUGCAGAAUUCAGUGAAUCAUCGAAUCUUUGAACGCACCUUGCGCCUUUUGGUAUUCCGAAAGGCAUGCCUGUUUGAGUGUCAUGAAAUCUCAAUCCUCCUAGGUUUUUGACCUGGUUGGGCUUGGACAUGGGCGUCUGCCAGCAAUGGCUCGCCUUAAAUGACUUAGUGGAACAUCCCACAUCAGUGUUAGACGUAAUAAGUUUCGUCUCUCCUUGUGGUGAUGACUGCUCAUAAUCUGCCAUCGCGCACUUUUGACUUUGACCUCAAAUCAGGUAGGGCUACCCGCUGAACUUAAGCAUAUCA